This 537-nucleotide ribosomal RNA is filed under the name Peristenus sp. YMZ346_Peristenus_WI. RNAcentral's name for it is "eukaryotic LSU rRNA". It matches the Rfam family "Eukaryotic large subunit ribosomal RNA", at positions 286 to 596 of the family's 3401-position model. Lineage: Eukaryota; Metazoa; Arthropoda; Insecta; Hymenoptera; Braconidae. The record is from RNAcentral.
UCUAAAGUGGGUGGUAAACUCCAUCUAAGGCUAAAUAUGACCACGAGACCAGAUAGCGAACAAGUACCGUGAGGGAAAGUUGAAAAAAACUUUGAAAAAAGAAGUUCAAGAGUACGUGAAACCGUUCAGGGGUAAACCUGAGAAAACUCAAAAAAUCGAAGGGGGAGAUUCAUCGUCAACACAUUUGGUAUAUGUGCAAGUUAUGAUAUAAGUUAUCCUUGGGUUAMSUAUAAWACMUGCUUGUUCAUUUAUUGCUGGAUGUGUCGGCGUGCACUUCUCCCCUAGUAGGACAUCGCGACCCGUUGAGUGUCGUUCUAUGGCCCAAAUGGUAGUCUUUAAUUAUUUUAUAAUUGAAGACCAUUGGUGUACCUGAUCGACUGCUCGGCGGUAUUCACAUGGUAAUGAGUCGCAAUUAUUUGCGUCAAACCCAUUGCAAGCGCGGUUAGUUUCUCGGUAGUGCGGAUUUAAUGCCGUCACUGAGACUGACCAGCUGUUGGUUUAUGGUGUCUUUGACUGACUCGAAAUAAUUACCGGUCG